UACGUAGGGGGCAAGCGUUAUCCGGAUUUACUGGGUGUAAAGGGAGCGUAGACGGCGAUGCAAGCCAGAUGUGAAAGCCCGGGGCUCAACCCCGGGACUGCAUUGGAAACUGCCCGGCUGGAGUGCGGGAGAGGUAAGCGGAAUUCCUAGUGUAGCGGUGAAAUGCGUAGAUAUUAGGAGGAACACCAGCGGCGAAGGCGGCUUACUGGACCGUGACUGACGUUGAGGCUCGCAAGCGUGGGGAGCAAACAGG
RNAcentral lists this ribosomal RNA (253 nucleotides) under uncultured Blautia sp. RNAcentral's name for it is "partial 16S ribosomal RNA". It matches the Rfam family "Bacterial small subunit ribosomal RNA", at positions 524 to 776 of the family's 1533-position model. The record is from RNAcentral. Lineage: Bacteria; Bacillati; Bacillota; Clostridia; Lachnospirales; Lachnospiraceae.